RNAcentral lists this ribosomal RNA (468 nucleotides) under uncultured bacterium. RNAcentral's name for it is "partial 16S ribosomal RNA". It matches the Rfam family "Bacterial small subunit ribosomal RNA", at positions 28 to 507 of the family's 1533-position model. The record is from RNAcentral.
GACGAACGCUGGCGGCGUGCUUAACACAUGCAAGUCGAACGGAAAGGCCCUGCUUUUGUGGGGUGCUCGAGUGGCGAACGGGUGAGUAACACGUGAGUAACCUGCCCUUGACUUUGGGAUAACUUCAGGAAACUGGGGCUAAUACCGGAUAGGAGCUCCUGCUGCAUGGUGGGGGUUGGAAAGUUUCGGCGGUUGGGGAUGGACUCGCGGCUUAUCAGCUUGUUGGUGGGGUAGUGGCUUACCAAGGCUUUGACGGGUAGCCGGCCUGGGAGGGUGACCGGAUCCACUGGAAUGGAGAUACGGCCCAGACUCCAACGGGAGGCAGCAGUGGGGAAGAGUGCACAAGGGGCGGAGGCCUGAUGCAGCAACGCCGCGUGCGGGAAGACGGCCUUCGGGUUGUAAACCGCUGUCGCCUGUGACGAGGCGUGAGUGACGGUAAUGGGUAAAGAAGCACCGGCUAACUACGUG